Molecule: ribosomal RNA, 494 nt
Filed under: uncultured bacterium
Lineage: Bacteria
Description: partial 16S ribosomal RNA
Rfam family: Bacterial small subunit ribosomal RNA
Source: RNAcentral
GACGAACGCUGGCGGCGUGCCUAAUACAUGCAAGUCGAGCGGACUUAAAAAGCUUGCUUUUUAAGUUAGCGGCGGACGGGUGAGUAACACGUGGGCAACCUGCCUGUAAGACUGGGAUAACUUCGGGAAACCGGAGCUAAUACCGGAUAAUCCUUUUCUACUCGUGUAGAAAAGCUGAAAGACGGUUUACGCUGUCACUUACAGAUGGGCCCGCGGCGCAUUAGCUAGUUGGUGAGGUAACGGCUCACCAAGGCGACGAUGCGUAGCCGACCUGAGAGGGUGAUCGGCCACACUGGGACUGAGACACGGCCCAGACUCCUACGGGAGGCAGCAGUAGGGAAUCUUCCGCAAAGGACGAAAGUCUGACGGAGCAACGCCGCGUGAGUGAUGAAGGUUUUCGGAUCGUAAAACUCUGUUGUUAGGGAAGAACAAGUACGAGAGUAACUGCUCGUACCUUGACGGUACCUAACCAGAAAGCCACGGCUAACUACGUG